AUUGAACGCUGGCGGCAUGCUUUACACAUGCAGGUCGAACGGCAGCGCGGGCUUCGGCCUGGCGGCGAGUGGCGAACGGGUGAGUAAUGCAUCGGAACGUGCCCAGUAGUGGGGGAUAGCCCGGCGAAAGCCGGAUUAAUACCGCAUACGACCUGAGGGUGAAAGCGGGGGACCGAAAGGCCUCGCGCUAUUGGAGCGGCCGAUGUCGGAUUAGCUAGUUGGUGGGUAAAGGCUUACCAAGGCGACGAUCCGUAGCUGGUCUGAGAGGACGACCAGCCACACUGGGACUGAGACACGGCCCAGACUCCUACGGGAGGCAGCAGUGGGGAAUUUUGGACAAUGGGGGCAACCCUGAUCCAGCCAUGCCGCGUGCGGGAAGAAGGCCUUCGGGUUGUAAACCGCUUUUGUUCGGGAAGAAAUCCUCUGGGCUAAUACCCCGGGGGGAUGACGGUACCGGAAGAAUAAGCACCGGCUAACUACGUG
Molecule: ribosomal RNA, 483 nt
Filed under: uncultured bacterium
Lineage: Bacteria
Description: partial 16S ribosomal RNA
Rfam family: Bacterial small subunit ribosomal RNA
Source: RNAcentral